RNAcentral lists this transfer RNA (73 nucleotides) under Dipodomys ordii (Ord's kangaroo rat). It matches the Rfam family "tRNA". From Rfam's summary of the family: Transfer RNA (tRNA) molecules are approximately 80 nucleotides in length. Their secondary structure includes four short double-helical elements and three loops (D, anti-codon, and T loops). Lineage: Eukaryota; Metazoa; Chordata; Mammalia; Rodentia; Heteromyidae. The record is from Rfam by way of RNAcentral.
UGAGGUGUGGUUCAAAUGGUAGAAUAUCUGCCUUGCAAGUGCAAGGCUCUGAGCUCAAAUCUUAGUACUACAA